GGGGGCGCCGCUAGCGAUCCCUCCUAUCCGUCGAGCGGACAGAUGGGUGCUUGCUCCCUGAUGUUAGCGGCGGACGGGUGAGUAACACGUGGGUAACCUGCCUGUAAGACUGGGAUAACUCCGGGAAACCGGGGCUAAUACCGGAUGCUUGUUUGAACCGCAUGGUUCAGACAUAAAAGGUGGCUUCGGCUACCACUUACAGAUGGACCCGCGGCGCAUUAGCUAGUUGGUGAGGUAACGGCUCACCAAGGCGACGAUGCGUAGCCGACCUGAGAGGGUGAUCGGCCACACUGGGACUGAGACACGGCCCAGACUCCUACGGGAGGCAGCAGUAGGGAAUCUUCCGCAAUGGACGAAAGUCUGACGGAGCAACGCCGCGUGAGUGAUGAAGGUUUUCGGAUCGUAAAGCUCUGUUGUUAGGGAAGAACAAGUGCCGUUCAAAUAGGGCGGCACCUUGACGGUACCUAACCAGAAAGCCACGGCUAACUACGUGCCAGCAGCCGCGGUAAUACGUAGGUGGCAAGCGUUGUCCGGAAUUAUUGGGCGUAAAGGGCUCGCAGGCGGUUUCUUAAGUCUGAUGUGAAAGCCCCCGGCUCAACCGGGGAGGGUCAUUGGAAACUGGGGAACUUGAGUGCAGAAGAGGAGAGUGGAAUUCCACGUGUAGCGGUGAAAUGCGUAGAGAUGUGGAGGAACACCAGUGGCGAAGGCGACUCUCUGGUCUGUAACUGACGCUGAGGAGCGAAAGCGUGGGGAGCGAACAGGAUUAGAUACCCUGGUAGUCCACGCCGUAAACGAUGAGUGCUAAGUGUUAGGGGGUUUCCGCCCCUUAGUGCUGCAGCUAACGCAUUAAGCACUCCGCCUGGGGAGUACGGUCGCAAGACUGAAACUCAAAGGAAUUGACGGGGGCCCGCACAAGCGGUGGAGCAUGUGGUUUAAUUCGAAGCAACGCGAAGAACCUUACCAGGUCUUGACAUCCUCUGACAUCCUAGAGAUAGGACGUCCCCUUCGGGGGCAAAGUGACAGUGGGUGCAUGGUG
RNAcentral lists this ribosomal RNA (1036 nucleotides) under Bacillus subtilis. Its description in RNAcentral is "bacterial SSU rRNA". It matches the Rfam family "Bacterial small subunit ribosomal RNA", at positions 25 to 1050 of the family's 1533-position model. Lineage: Bacteria; Bacillati; Bacillota; Bacilli; Caryophanales; Bacillaceae. The record is from RNAcentral.